RNAcentral lists this ribosomal RNA (482 nucleotides) under uncultured bacterium. Its description in RNAcentral is "bacterial SSU rRNA". It matches the Rfam family "Bacterial small subunit ribosomal RNA", at positions 29 to 506 of the family's 1533-position model. The record is from RNAcentral.
UUGAACGCUGGCGGCAUGCUUUACACAUGCAAGUCGAACGGCAGCGGGGGCUUCGGCCUGCCGGCGAGUGGCGAACGGGUGAGUAAUGCAUCGGAACGUACCCAGUCGUGGGGGAUAACUACGCGAAAGCGUAGCUAAUACCGCAUACGCCCUGAGGGGGAAAGCGGGGGACCUUCGGGCCUCGCGCGAUUGGAGCGGCUGAUGUCGGAUUAGCUAGUUGGUGGGGUAAAGGCCUACCAAGGCGACGAUCCGUAGCUGGUCUGAGAGGAUGAUCAGCCACACUGGGACUGAGACACGGCCCAGACUCCUACGGGAGGCAGCAGUGGGGAAUUUUGGACAAUGGGGGCAACCCUGAUCCAGCCAUGCCGCGUGAGUGAAGAAGGCCUUCGGGUUGUAAAGCACUUUCGGCCGGGACGAAAUCGCUCGGGUUAACACCCAGGGUGGAUGACGGUACCGGAAGAAGAAGCACCGGCUAACUACGU